GACGCACAGACCAGAAAACAUAAUGCCCAUAAAUGGGGCAUAAAAAUACGACAUAAACCCAUCAUAUACAACUACCGCAUUUCACUUUCCUGAUUUUGGACAGCCACCUACACAACAUUGCUGGAUAAAACAUACACCCAAACAUCUGAUUUCCUAACCCGGGACAUUUGCGGUCGAUUAGAUAAUAUUAUGGAGUGUAUGGAAGCGC
This 208-nucleotide long non-coding RNA is filed under the name Mytilus galloprovincialis (Mediterranean mussel). The record is from RNAcentral. Lineage: Eukaryota; Metazoa; Mollusca; Bivalvia; Mytilida; Mytilidae.